AGAACUCCUUUUGGGUUGCCCGCAGGAGUGGCAGAGGCCCAGGUGCAUUGGAACUGGGUCAGGAGCAGAGCAGACUGAUUCAAGCUAGUACACAUAUGGCAUGCUGGCACUACAGGUGGCGGUUUAACUUGCUCAACCAUUAUGCUGGCACCUUAAAAAAAAAAAAAAGGAAAAGGUAAUUCUAUUCAUAAAUAAUGUGUACUAAUUUUAGGCAUUCUGUGGCUCUCUGAAGCAGUUCAUUCAAACCAGAAUCCCAAAUGUUACUACCAGAAUGAAUGUGGAACUUUGGGAGUUUGAGAUAAUUGACUUUCAUGGGUGCAACUAACCAUCCAAAGGUACUUAAA
Long non-coding RNA from Ochotona curzoniae (black-lipped pika), 344 nucleotides. RefSeq lists it as uncharacterized. Lineage: Eukaryota; Metazoa; Chordata; Mammalia; Lagomorpha; Ochotonidae. The record is from RefSeq and is a predicted model, not a curated record. The transcript has 2 exons.